GACGAACGCUGGCGGCGGGCUUAACACAUGCAAGUCGAACGGAAAGGCCCUGCUUUUGUGGGCUGCUCGAGUGGCGAACGGGUGAGUAACACGUGAGUAACCUGCCCUUGACUUUGGGAUAACUUCAGGAAACUGGGGCUAAUACCGGAUAGGAUCUCCUGCUCCAUGGUGGGGGUUGGAAAUUUUCGGCUGUCGGGGAUGGACUGGCGGCUUAUCAGCUUGUUGGUGGGGUAGUGGCUUACCAAGGCUUUGACGGGUAGCCGGCCUGAGAGGGUGACCGGCCACAUGGGGACUAAGAUACGGAGCAGACUCCUAUGGGAGGCAGUGGUGGGGAAUAUUGCACAGUGGGCGGAAGCCUGAUGAAGAAACCCCGCGUGCGGAAAGACGGCCUGUGGGUUGAAAAAAGCUUUAGCCUGUGACGCAGCGUGAGUGACGGUAAUGAGUAAAGAAGCACCGGCUAACUACGUG
RNAcentral lists this ribosomal RNA (468 nucleotides) under uncultured bacterium. RNAcentral describes it as "partial 16S ribosomal RNA". It matches the Rfam family "Bacterial small subunit ribosomal RNA", at positions 28 to 507 of the family's 1533-position model. The record is from RNAcentral.